This 136-nucleotide ribosomal RNA is filed under the name uncultured eukaryote. Its description in RNAcentral is "partial 18S ribosomal RNA". It matches the Rfam family "Eukaryotic small subunit ribosomal RNA", at positions 1299 to 1458 of the family's 1831-position model. The record is from RNAcentral.
UGGUGGAGUGAUUUGUCUGGUUGAUUCCGUUAACGAACGAGACCUUUUCUUCCAAAUUGCUGUAGGGUAUUCCUAUACUUUGCAGUAAAUCGGAGAACAACAUGUGGAAAGCAUGGGGAAGAGAAAGGCGAAAACA